Molecule: long non-coding RNA, 336 nt
Organism: Solanum stenotomum
Lineage: Eukaryota; Viridiplantae; Streptophyta; Magnoliopsida; Solanales; Solanaceae
Exons: 3
Source: RefSeq, a predicted model, not a curated record
GGUUAUAGUGACAACACGGACAAGAAACCGUCUCACACGUAGAUAGUUGCGGUCCAGGCUACAGCUGGAUUGGCAGCUGGUGCCUGUUCAUCAGUAAUUACACUCCCAUAGAUACUGUUAAAACACGACUUCAGGUUAUCGAUGAUUAUGAUGUUGGGAGACCUUCUGUACUAAAGACCACAAAAACGCUUCUCAGAGAAGAUGGAUGGAAAGGGUUCUAUAGAGGCUUUGGACCUAGGUUCCUCAAUAUGUCUUUCUAUGGAACAACAAUGAUUGUCACCUAUGGGAUCAUCAAGAGAUUAUCUAUUAAACAAGUUUGAUCAUUCGGACUCCAAA